Molecule: ribosomal RNA, 492 nt
Filed under: uncultured bacterium
Lineage: Bacteria
Description: partial 16S ribosomal RNA
Rfam family: Bacterial small subunit ribosomal RNA
Source: RNAcentral
AGUGAACGCUGGCGGUAGGCCUAACACAUGCAAGUCGAACGGCAGCACAGUAAGAGCUUGCUCUUACGGGUGGCGAGUGGCGGACGGGUGAGGAAUACAUCGGAAUCUACUUUUUCGUGGGGGAUAACGUAGGGAAACUUACGCUAAUACCGCAUACGACCUACGGGUGAAAGCAGGGGAUCUUCGGACCUUGCGCGAUUGAAUGAGCCGAUGUCGGAUUAGCUAGUUGGCGGGGUAAAGGCCCACCAAGGCGACGAUCCGUAGCUGGUCUGAGAGGAUGAUCAGCCACACUGGAACUGAGACACGGUCCAGACUCCUACGGGAGGCAGCAGUGGGGAAUAUUGGACAAUGGGCGCAAGCCUGAUCCAGCCAUACCGCGUGGGUGAAGGAGGCCUUCAGGUUGUAAAGCCCUUUUGUUGGGAAAGAAAAGCAGCAGGUUAAUACCCCGCUGUUCUGACGGUACCCAAAGAAUAAGCACCGGCUAACUUCGUG